ACAGCAGCAGCCGCGGUAAUACGUAGGUGGCAAGCGUUGUCCGGAAUUAUUGGGCGUAAAGGGCUCGCAGGCGGUUUCUUAAGUCUGAUGUGAAAGCCCCCGGCUCAACCGGGGAGGGUCAUUGGAAACUGGGAAACUUGAGUGCAGAAGAGGAGAGUGGAAUUCCACGUGUUGCGGUGAAAUGCGUAGAGAUGUGGAGGAACACCAGUGGCGAAGGCGACUCUCUGGUCUGUAACUGACGCUGAGGAGCGAAAGCGUGGGGAGCGAACAGGAUUAGAUACCCGCGUAGUCCCUGUCUCUUAUAA
Molecule: ribosomal RNA, 305 nt
Filed under: uncultured bacterium
Lineage: Bacteria
Description: partial 16S ribosomal RNA
Rfam family: Bacterial small subunit ribosomal RNA
Source: RNAcentral